Molecule: ribosomal RNA, 386 nt
Filed under: Ochromonas tuberculata
Lineage: Eukaryota; Chrysophyceae; Chromulinales; Chromulinaceae
Description: partial small subunit ribosomal RNA
Rfam family: Eukaryotic small subunit ribosomal RNA
Source: RNAcentral
GCUUGUCUCAAAGAUUAAGCCAUGCAUGUUCAAGUAUAGCAAGUGUACAGUGAAACUGCGAAUGGCUCAUUAUAUCAGUUAUAGUUUAUUUGAUGGUCCUUACUAUUUGGAUAACCGUAGUAAUUCUAGAGCUAAUACAUGCAUCAAGCCCUGACUUCGGAAGGGGUGUAUUUAUUAGAUGGAAACCAAUGCGGGGCAACCCGGAAUAUGGUGAUUCAUAAUAACUUUCGGAUCGAUUUAUCGAUGCAUCAUUCAAGUUUCUGCCCUAUCAGCUUUGGAUGGUAGGGUAUUGGCCUACCAUGGCUUUAACGGGUAACGGAGAAUUAGGGUUCGAUUCCGGAGAGGGAGCCUGAGAAAUGGCUACCACAUCCAAGGAAGGCAGCAGG